UUCCAGCUCCAAUAGCGUAUAUUUAAGUUGUUGCAGUUAAAAAGCUCGUCGUUGGAUUUCGGGCGGGUUUCGUCGGUCCGCCUCUGGUGUGCACUGCCGAAGCUCGCCUUUCUGUCGAGGACGGGCUCCUGGGCUUCAUUGCUCGGGACUCGGGCUCGACGAGGUUACUUUGAGUAAAUUAGAGUGUUCAAAGCAGGCGAUCGCCCUGAAUACAUUAGCAUGGAAUAGCAUGAUAGGACUCUGGCCUAUCUUGCUGGUCUGUAGGACCGGAGUAAUGAUUAAGAGGGACAGUCGGGGGCACUCGUAUUUCAUUGUCAGAGGUGAAAUUCUUGGAUUUAUGAAAGACGAACUUCUGCGAAAGCAUUUGCCAAGGAUGUUUUCAUUGAUCAAGAACGAAAGUUGGGGGCUCGAAGACGAUUAGAUACCGUCGUAGUCUCAACCAUAAACGAUGCCGACCAGGGAUUGGCGGGUGUUCUUUUAAUGACCCCGCCAGCACCUUGAGAGAAAUCAGAGUCUUUGGGUUCCGGGGGGAGUAUGGUCGCAAGGCUGAAACUUAAAGGAAUUGACGGAAGGGCACCACCAGGCGUGGAGCCUGCGGCUUAAUUCGACUCAACACGGGAAAACUUACCAGGUCCAGACACGAGGAUGAUUAACAGAUUGAGAGCUCUUUUUUGAUUUUGUGGGUGGUGGUGCAUGGCCGUUCUUAGUUGGUGGGUUGCCUUGUCAGGUUGAUUCCGGUAACGAACGAGACCUCAGCCUGCUAAAUAGUCACGUUUCCUUUCUGGAUACGCUUGACUUCCUAGAGGGACUAUUGUCGUUUAGGCAAUGGAAGUGUGAGGCAAUAACAGGUCUGUGAUGCCCUUAGAUGUUCUGGGCCGCACGCGCGCUACAUUGAUGCAUUCAACGAGCCUAUCCUUGGCCGAGAGGCCUGGGUAAUCUUUGAAACUGCAUCGUGAUGGGGAUAGAUUAUUGCAAUUAUUAGUCUUCAACGAGGAAUGCCUAGUAAGCGCGAGUCAUCAGCUCGCGUUGAUUACGUCCCUGCCCUU
RNAcentral lists this ribosomal RNA (1046 nucleotides) under uncultured eukaryote. Its description in RNAcentral is "SSU rRNA". It matches the Rfam family "Eukaryotic small subunit ribosomal RNA", at positions 583 to 1660 of the family's 1831-position model. The record is from RNAcentral.